UGGGGAAUCUUCCGCAAUGGACGAAAGUCUGACGGAGCAACGCCGCGUGAGUGAAGACGGCCUUCGGGUUGUAAAGCGCUGUGAUCCGGGACGAAAGAGCCUGAGGUGAAUAGCCUAAGGAAGUGACGGUACCGGAAAAGCAAGCCACGGCUAACUACGUGCCAGCAGCCGCGGUAAUACGUAGGUGGCAAGCGUUGUCCGGAAUUAUUGGGCGUAAAGCGCGCGCAGGCGGCUUCCUAAGUCCAUCUUAAAAGUGCGGGGCUUAACCCCGUGAUGGGAUGGAAACUGGGAAGCUGGAGUAUCGGAGAGGAAAGUGGAAUUCCUAGUGUAGCGGUGAAAUGCGUAGAGAUUAGGAAGAACACCGGUGGCGAAGGCGACUUUCUGGACGAAAACUGACGCUGAGGCGCGAAAGCGUGGGGAGCAAACAGG
This 429-nucleotide ribosomal RNA is filed under the name Fusobacteriota bacterium. Its description in RNAcentral is "Fusobacteria bacterium partial 16S ribosomal RNA". It matches the Rfam family "Bacterial small subunit ribosomal RNA", at positions 355 to 776 of the family's 1533-position model. The record is from RNAcentral. Lineage: Bacteria; Fusobacteriati; Fusobacteriota.